This is a long non-coding RNA of Labrus mixtus (cuckoo wrasse), 975 nucleotides long. RefSeq lists it as uncharacterized. The transcript has 4 exons. Lineage: Eukaryota; Metazoa; Chordata; Actinopteri; Labriformes; Labridae. The record is from RefSeq and is a predicted model, not a curated record.
ACUAGGGUGAUCCCUUUACAAUGCUCAGAGGAUCAACAUACGUAAUGAAAAGCGGUCAUCCACUCAACAACAAGCCUUCUCUCUGCCAGAACUGUGACGAGGCGACGAUCACCUCCACAGACAGAACUCUGGGUCUCCGAAACCGAGCUCCCAUUUCAGGCAGACUGAGAUCCAUUCAGAGGGGAACCGGAACAGCACUCCCAGAACCAAACCACUGGGUCAGAAUUUCAGCAAAGAGCACUCAUUCUCCCACCAGCAGUGAAUCCUCUGACAGGUGAAGGGUGAGAGCUGAACCUGCCUCCUUUCAGCUGCAAUGAGACAGAAAAUAACAAACUGGCAGCAAGUGAUCAAGCAACUGGAAUAACAAGAAGAGGGCAAACGCACCCUUCUUGGGAGAGAUUAAUUUCUGUGGGAAAUUAAAUUGUAUGUAUGCGUGUGUCGUUUUUUUUUUAAGGGUAGGUGUUUUUCUCACUAAGUCCUUGGUGUGUAAUAUAAAACAAUCUCAGCAGACUUUGUCUGAGGCUCCAACUCUAUCGUCUUCAUUAUUUUGUCUUUAGAGCGUCAGAGAUAGUGAAAAUAUCCUCACAAUUCCCUGAAACCCAAGGUGUCAUUCUUAUGAGGCUUGUUUUGUCUGCUCCUUUACAAAGAUGUUGCAGAAAAUAUCUGAGACAUUUUGAGCCGCAGAAGAAGAGGAUUUUCUGGCACGACUUCACCAACUACCAAGGGUCCUCUGAUGGUCCAAAUCUCAAGGAAGUCAUUUCUGAAACAACAUGGAUGCUAUGCUAUCAAUAUCAUCGCCUCACCUGACAUAAAACUGUGCACACUGUUUUAAUGUAAAUACUAGAGUAGUAUUUCUCAAUAUCUUGAGACACUUUUUGAAGGUCUCGGUCUCGUCUUGCACUCAAAAGCAUUUUUACUCUGUCUUGUCUCUGCCUCAGACUGGGCGGACUCUGGAUUUUAAAUAAAGACCGUUCA